This 475-nucleotide long non-coding RNA is filed under the name Canis lupus familiaris (dog). Its description in RNAcentral is "lncRNA (ENSCAFG00030006001.1)". Lineage: Eukaryota; Metazoa; Chordata; Mammalia; Carnivora; Canidae. The record is from RNAcentral.
ACAUCACGUUUCUCCCACGGGGCCGGGAAGUGUCACAGGGCCUCGAUGGGGGAUGAAGGCUGCCUUAGGUCUAAAACGAGGUCGUGCUCUACUUUGGGAAGUGGAAGGCGGGGGGGGGGGGGGGGGGGGGGGGGGCACAGUAUCCGACACCCCGAGCGCGGAGGAAGCGCGUGCACCGGGCCGGCUGCAGGCUGAGCCCUGGAUCUGGGCCGUGGGGGCAGCCAGGGCGGCGGUCCCGGCCAGCCCCGAAGGCCACCCACACUGCUGGGCUUUUACCUUGGAGGAUGUGGGACAGAGCGGUCUGGACUCCGACCACCGCGGCAGACAGGCCCUGACCCCGGGAGCAGGCCAGGUGGAGGCGGACGCCACAGAGGACGGCCUCCUCCCCGGCCUCCCUUCCCGCAGCACCCCUCCUCCUGCAGGUCUCCUGACCCGAGACAAGAUCCCCCUGCACCGAUGCAAAGCGCGGCCCUGA